Molecule: long non-coding RNA, 1823 nt
Filed under: Androctonus crassicauda
Lineage: Eukaryota; Metazoa; Arthropoda; Arachnida; Scorpiones; Buthidae
Source: RNAcentral
AAAUACAAAAGUACAAAAAUUUUUUAAAUCUAUUUUUUUUUUUUUUUGUUAAUUUUCUGUAUAACAUUUAAAUUUUUAUUUUUCAAAUGUUAAUAAACUGGUGCACAAAAUAUUUUAUUAUUAUUUUACAUUCUUUGAUUAAUGAUUAUCAUUUAAAUGUAAUAUUUUUAUUUGUGAAAGAUGAAUAAACUUAAAAUAUCAACUGAAUUUCAAAUUUAUCAUCAUUAAAAAGAAAUGCUAUUUUAUCAUGAUAUAAAUACAUUCAUUUAGAAAUUGCAAAAUUAUUUAUCGGAAUGGACAAAAUGUAACAAAAAUAGAUCAAUCAAACACUGUAAAGGAAAAACGAUUUAUACUGAUGGGGGCCAAUAACCAAAUGAAUAUAAACAUGGCACAAAUAUAGAAUCAAAUUUUAAAGCAUAAUUAUAAAUUUAAACAUGGUAUCCAAAAACUGGCAAUCCUGGGAUAUCAGCAGAAUAAAACUUCUAUUGUUUUGUCCAUUAUUUAAAAACAAAAUUUCAUUUCGUCUUAAGUUUUGACUAUAACAACAAAACAUAAUUGACCAAACUAUUACAAAAGAAUUUUAUUUCUGAAUUACCUUAUUAUAAUUGGCAAAUUCUAAUAUCAAAAAUGAUGACUGUAUUUUGUAAAAAGGUUAUAAAUAUAGUUAGAAGACUUAUCAAAGAAUUUCAGUAAUUUAGAUGUUAAUUGAUUUGGGAAUUUAAUUGAUUAGGAAUAGGAAUAUAAUUUUGUGGAAAAUUAUGAUCUUUAUCUAAUAAAUGAAAAUAUUCAGAUUUCUGGAUUACUAAUGUCAAUUAUAACAGUUUAACAUUUUUCUGAAACUGCUUGCUGUUUGAUUUGAAAUUUUUGAAUUUAUGAAGAGAAUAUUUUCAAAAUAAGAAAUGUUUUCCAAGUUGCUUCACUCAAUCUGUAAGAAACUAAUUGUAAAAUUUAUAUCUGAGGAAACAAAGUGUGCAUUUAAAUUCAUCAACAGUGUACUUAGGCUUAGAUUUACAGACAGCAUAGAUUUCAUUUUUGUAAUUCAGGGGUCAAGAUUAACAGUACUAUGGAUAAAAAUAGAUCAAAUUAUGUAUAGAUGUGUUCAAUGUAUAAUAAAUAUAAUAAGUGCUGUUGUAUAUAUGCCAAAAAAUUUUAUUCAAUGUUGUGAAAAUAUAAAAAUUAAAAGAAAUACUAUGACUUAAUUUGUGUUAUAGAAUUUUAAAAUAUUUUAUUGUUAUAUAUAGUUUUUAUAAAAAAGAAAAUCAAUAAAUUUUCUGAAUUAAAUUCUGUCGUAACUUUAUUCAUUAAUCGGUUUGUCACCGAAUUAUGUAAGGAUAUAAUUAUGGGAGUCAGUCCCGCACCAGUCUUAAUGGAAAGAUGGUAUUAAAUAGUCGGGUCUGGACAUCACCAAAAAAUCUGAAGAUCUAAGAUAAGGAAUAAAAUCUGGAUUCUCUGGGUGAUAAUUGGAUGUGAAAAGAGAGAGUCAUUUUAUCAGAUGCUUUUAAAGUUUAAUUCUAUAAAAAAUUGUUUUACACAAAAAACAAUCAAUUAUUUUUAUCAUAAUUUACACUUAUAUUGUCCAAUGUAUAAAUAAUUAAGUUUUUAUAAUAUAAAAAGUUUAUCCACAGAAUUAGAUGGCAGAUUUACUAGUUGUUCAAAUUAUUUUGAUAAAAUAUUUUUCAUUAUGCAUUUAAAAUACAAAUGCCUAUAUUAUGUAUAUGUUAUGGGUAAUGUGCAAAAUCCAGAUAAUGUGGAGAUUAACUGGGAGAUGUCAACAUUAUCCAAGUACAAUGGAUAAAGACAGAAAUAGAUAUUAAUUUAUCUCA